RNAcentral lists this long non-coding RNA (28008 nucleotides) under Podarcis lilfordi (Lilford's wall lizard). The record is from RNAcentral. Lineage: Eukaryota; Metazoa; Chordata; Lepidosauria; Squamata; Lacertidae.
AGCCUAGGACAUGCCAAUCAGAAGGUCAGCGGUUGGAAUCCCCGUGACGGGGUGAGCUCCCGUUGCUCGGUCCCUGCUCCUGCCAACCUAGCAGUUCAAAAGCACAUCAAAGUGCAAGUAGAUAAAUAGGUGCCGCUCUGGCGGGAAGGUAAACGGCGUUUCCAUGCACUGCUCUGAUUCGCCAGAAGUGGCUCAGUCAUGCUGGCCACAUGACCCGGAAGCUGUAUGCUGGCUCCCUUGGCCAAUAAAGUGAGAUGAGCGCCGCAACCCCAGAGCUGGUCACGACUGGACCCUUUACCUUUACCUUUACCUAGUCAACCUUCUGAGUAGUGGCACCCGCCCUGUGAAAUGCCUUCCCACCAGAUGUCAGAGCAAAACAACUACCAGACUUUUAGAAGACAUCUGAAGGCAGCCCUGUUUAAGGAAGCUUUUAACGUUUGACAGACUAUUGUAUUUUAAUAUUUUGUUGGAAGCCUCCCAGAGUGGCUAUGGAAACCCAGCCAGAUGGGUGGGGUAUAAAUUAUUAUUAUUAUUAAUCAUAAUAACAAUACCUACCACCCACUAAUGCAUCUUUCUUCUUAGUAGUCCUACACUUGAGUAGGACCCUUGCAGACACACAUGCCUGACUGGCAUGUUCUCUCCCUCUUGGCUGAUCGUUCGGAAGCGUCAAAAGCUUUCUUCUGCCCAAACAUCACAGCGACUGAUGGCAACAGACAUCAGCACACUUAGGGAUCCACAGAGUGUUUUCAGCUUGCGUAACAGAACCCAGCAACUCAGCAUUUUGGCUAAUCUACUUUAUUUACAUAUAAAAACACAUGGAGAACUGCAACAUGGCUCCCUCUCUCUCUAGCAUCAGACAGCAAAGAGCAAAAGAACAAAGGACAAUAGUCCCACUUCACAGAACACAAACAUCCUAUCUCUGUCACUUCCCACACUGUGGAGACAAAACAUACACCAUCAUUUGAUAGACAACAAUCCCAUGACUGCAAUCACGGAGCAGGAAUUCUAACACCGCCCACCAGUGCUCAAUGGAAGGAGGAUUCAGCUUGUGCUGUAGAACCCCCCUACUCCCCACCUAGAAUCCUGAAACACCCACUAGUGAGCGGUAGGGACCAGGUUGACAACCCCUGGAUUAAGAUCUACCUUCGAGAGAGAGUCAGUGUGGUGUAGUGGUUAAGAGCGAUAGACUCGUAAUCUGGUGAACAAGGUUUGCGUCUCCGCUCCUCCACAUGCAGCUGCUGGGUGACCUUGGGCUAGUCACACUUCUUUGAAGUCUCUCAGCCCCACUCACCUCUCAGAGUGUUUGUUGUGGGAGAGGAAGAGAAAGGAGAAUGUUAGCUGCUUUGAGACUCCUUCAGGUAGUGAUAAAGUGGGAUAUCAAAUCCAAACUCUUCUUCUUCUUCUUCUUCUUCUUCUUCUUCUUCUUCUUCUUCUUCUGAGGGCUCUGUGUUUUCUUUACUCUUUCUCUCUCUGUUUUUGUUUCUAUUUGGAUUAGUUUCUUUUAUCUUGUGUUAUGAAAAGGUUUUAAUAAAAUCUAUUUUUUUAAAGAAGGAGGAGGAGGAGGAGGAGGAGGAGGAGGAGGAGGAGGAGGGGAGCAAUAGUCCAGUCACAUCAGGAAGGCCACACAUUGCCCAUUCGUGACUUAAUCAUAAGCAUGGUAAUUUGUGACUCCUCACUGCAUUCUGCAAAGCAGGAAAUGUAGCCAAUUUGGGAAUGCGGAAAAAUAUAAACAACUUCAAACUCAUUUUUUUAUAUAAAAAAACCCUAGCAAUAACCCCCCCUGCUGAUAGCACAGCCUCCCAUUUUCCCCUAGAUAAUCUGUAUUUAAUUCUGCACUUCACCUCUUUCCUGACCUUUGGAUAUAUUCCUCAUGACUACCAAUCAAAACACUCCAUAAAUUAGAAAUUCUCUUAGAUCUUGCUGGAGCCUUAAUCAUUUUACAUUUCCAAAAUAUUCAGCCGAGGCUCUUGCGGUUAGCUGAUUUACCAAAAUCACAUGAAGAUAAUGUUUGCAUACUUAAAGUGGAGAAAUCAGCAGAAAUGACAAGCUGAAUUAUCCCGUUUUUCCCCCUUGCAGUUGAAAAUACAUGAAUAUUUCAUUUGAAAAGAUGCACCUCAUCACACACCCCUUUCCCCCCACUUGCAAAGUUUAAGAAAAGCUGAGCUAAUUAUGCUGUAUAUUCUACAGUUAAGAAGUAACUGUGACUGAGUUUAAGAAAGAGUUGAUAUUCAGAAGCUGUAAGGAGUGAGAUAAUGAGAAAUAUGAUAAUGAUAAUUAAAGCCUCAAUGCACAGCUUUCCUACUUUGGAGCAAUCACAUUGUUUUUAAUAGCAUUACUUUAGUGAAGCAGGAGGGGAGCAUAUUCUUGAAGACCACUCGGUUCUUUAGACAGUGAUUCAGGGAGGCAGAAGAGAAAUUUGCGGUGGCUGAAUCCCAUUCCAUUCAUCCAGAAUCUGUAGUAAACUGAGGGGAAUUGUGUGUUGGCCAAAUGUUCACAAAAUGGAGCAACACAGGUGUAGCCAGGUAUUUUAAGUGAGUUUUGUGGAUACCUGAAACUCAGAAUGGAAGGCUCAUCAGACCCAAAAACGACCUAUCCUGGAGAAAUUUUGAGGAAGAGAUGUCCAACUGCAUACCUUCCAAGUGUCCCUAUUUUCUAGGGACAGUGCCGGACUUACAAAAGCCAUCCUGACUUCUGGUUAGACCCCAGAAUGUCCCUAUUUCGCCCCCCAACCCUACAGCCACUGAGCUCGGGGAGGAGGAGAGGCUACCACUUCUGCUGAGCGGAAGAGGCAGUGGCAGCUGCAAGGGAGCAGCCUAUUGCCUCUCCAUGUCCUCUCCAUGGCCGCCGCCACUGGCCUCUUCCCUUGGGCAGCUCAUAGCAGCUGCUGGACAGCAGGCAAGGAGGAAGAGAGGCUGCCACCACCCAGUGGGGGAGUACUGUCAAAAGUGGGUGCAGGAGUCAGGCCCUGUGACCAGUAGGGCUUCGCAGGACUGGGGCCUUCCUAAAUUUAUUCUGGAGAGGCAAGGUGCGGCCGCACAGGUGAGGCCGAUUGGUAACUCACAGCACCUGGUGCCUAGAGCCAGAAGGGAUAUAAGGUCAGCAUUUCCCUUCGGUUCUUUGCCACGGCAACACGUUUCCUGCCUUGUUGUGUUUGGCUUCUUGCUUCCUGAUCCUCGGGCCCUUGACUCCUUGCUUCUCGGCCCUUGGCUUUGUAACUCCUUGCUUCUGUGCCCUUGGACCCUUGAAUACUGACUCCUUUCUUCUUGACCGUCAGACCCUUGACUUCCUGACUCCUUUCUUCUUGACCCUUGGACCCUUGACUUCGUGACUCCCUGCUUCCUGACCCUCGGACCCGUGGCUUCUGGAUUCUCGUUCCUGCUCCCACCCCUCCAUCUUGCCCCCGGUCCCGACGUCCUCAGCCGGGACUUUGAUCGCCCAUAGACCAAACCGUGACAGGGAGCUUCAUGCUCCGGCACCAGGGGGCAGAGAGGAGGCGGGGGCGGGGCUGGCCCAUGUCCUGGGGGCGUGGUGCCCAGCGUGGGCGGGGAGGCAGCCACGAUGGCACCCCACCGGGAUUGUGCUGCCGGGGCAGUGCACUCCCCCCACACUGCUCUUCCUCCACCAGUGCCACCAUCAAGGCACAGACUCAUGUGAGGCACCAGCUCUGAGGGGCAGGCAGAGGGCAGGGCUGCCCUGGGCAGGAAGAGAAGUGGGGCCAAAUUCAAGGAGCCUUGAAUUUAAAGAAGAAAUGCUCUGUACAUCUGCAUCCAAUCUUGCCCCUUUUCUAAAAUUUAUUUAUUGGUGUGUGUCUUUUUCUUUUUGUAAACCUACUGAAGAAUAACAUAAAAUAAAACCGGGAUUAAGGGUUUUUCUCAGGACGGUAGAGGGUGGAUGUGCUGUGUCCCGUUAGUGUCAUUGUGGUGGCACUCUCACUUUUUCUGAUAGGAAAUGCUCUGCAGGACGGGGACAAAGAUGGGAGGUCAAGGAGGGUCAGCUGAGCAAGUGAGAAAUGCCCCUAUUUUCACCUGAGGAGUGUUGGAAGGUAUGCAACUGAGAGCUAUAGAUAAAAACUUGGGGGGAGUGUUGUUGAUUGUUCUUGUUUUUAUUUUGAUUAUGUAUUUUGUGUUUUUACGUUGUGGUAGAUUACUGAGGACUGCCUGGCAUGCUCUGGUCCAUGGAGUCAUGAAGAGUCGGACACGACUAAACAACAACAACAAGAUUACUGUAAUGUGUUAUAUGCAGGGCUUCCCUUGAAGAUGAACCAGAAGAUUCCAUUAGUUCAGAAUUGAAUUGCUAGGCUGCUUAAUCCAGAUCAGGAACAGGUAAUCAGAUGCUGUUGAAAAACAGCUGCCAUCAUCCCCAGCCAUUGCCAUUCUGGCUGAGGCUGAUGGGAGUUGGCAUUCAACAACAGCCCUCUGCUCAUAUGCAAUUUCCAGCACCUGAAUUAGGUUUCAUUUUCAGGUCAGAAAGGAGAGAGGCAGGUUUUUCACCUGCCCCUAUAAAAACCCUACAAACUUUUUGCUAAGUUUGGAAACUUGUUCUUCCAGAUCCUCACAACUUUUGGGCUUUCUUCACUUGCUACCUGACCAUUGGGCACAGGUGCUGCCUGAAAGAACCGAUACUGAGGUCUCUCACAAUGCCACAAAGUCUUCUAAGGUUAAAGGAACCUGUGUCACAAGCUGUGUGGGGCCGGAAACCUUCUUAUCCCUUUCUUACAACUUCAUGCUCACUGUGACGAUAUUUGAUGCUAAAACUGUUCUGCUGGCACAAAACGUACAUUUGAAGAUUGAGCGGCUGCCAUUUGUCAAGGUCUCUGUUUCAUUGCAAAGUUAUGGGAAGGUGACCUGCUUUAGGUCUUAUCUCCACAUUUGUGCUUGCUUAGAGGAGAUGUGCUCUUUCUAGUGCUGUGCUGGAAAAUUCUCCUGCAUUUCCUCCAUGACCAACAUUGCCAUUCUCCAUCUAUAUAUCUCUUUAUUACAGUCAAUGGCCAGUAUUCAAAGAGAAACUGUGUCCAAAUAUCUGAAAUAGUACCAAACAGAAGAAAAUAGAGAACCGAAACAAUAAAAUUACUAGUUCUCUGUGUCAUGCUACAGAACACCAGGCCUACAAAGCAAAAUUAAGUUUGCUGAAAUCAGUGGCCUGUGAGUUUUAAAUGCAGCAGCAGACUAGCCACUCUUGAGAAGGUGGUGCAUUAUGAUCUGAAAGGAGUGAAAAAGCAUAAAAUGCAUAUAGUCAUCGUGGGAAUUUUUGUAGAAAGCAUUUAGUAAUAAAUAUGUAUAUCAUGAUAAAAGGAACAGUAUAUAAUCAUGUAAGUUAUUGAUUCAAACUCCUCAGAUUCGCAAGGUCAUUGAUGUUGAUAAGAGGAGGUCUAUUUUUGGGAACCUCCACUGAUGGAAGAACAUUUAAAUGCACUGGAGUAAAGGCUAUACAGUGGUACCGCAGGUUAAGAACUUAAUUUGUUCUGGAGGUCUGUUCUUAACCUGAAACUGUUCUUAACCUGAGGUACCACUUUAGCUAAUGAGGCCUCCCGCUGCCGCUGCUGCACAAUUUCUGUUCUCAUCCUGAAGCAAAGUUCUUAACCCGAGUUACUAUUUCUGGGUUAGCAGAGUCUGUAAUCUGAAGCGUCUGUAACCUGAGAUACCACUGUACAGUGGACGCUUGGGUUGUGAAUGUGAUCCAUGCAGGAUGCACGUUCACAACCCACAGCAUUCGCAACCCGCAGUGGCGCAUCUGCACAUGCGCGGGUUACGAUUCAGUGCUUCUGUGCAUGCGCAAAGUGCAAUUUAGUGCUUCUGCGCAUGCGCGGCCCCCGAAACCCAGAAGUAACCCAUUCCGGUACUUUCGGGUUUCGGCUGGUCCAUAACCCGAAAAACGCAAGCUGAAGCAGCUGUAACCUGAGGUAUGACUGUACAAUGUUUCUGAAUAGAAAGCACAAAUUAAUCAAUUAAUGUAUGUGAUGGUUGUGCUCUGCCUCCACUGUUGGAGGUACCAGUACCAGUUGAUGGAAACCACAGGAAGGGAGAGAGCUCUUGUGCUCAAAUCCUGCCUACAGGUUCCCCAUGGCAGUUGGUUAGAGCAUGGUGCUGAUAAUGCCUUCCGACUACAAUUCUAUGAUCUAUGUGAUCUAAUUGACCACUGUGAUGGGCCUAUACGUUAUCCAAGAUGGGCCAUUGGCCUGAUCCAACAGGCAUGUUCUUAUGUUCUUGUGUUCUUAAUGGGGAAAGGUAGCUGCAAAAAGCAGCAAUGCCAUAUUGUUCCUGCUGAUGUGUUUUCACUGCAAUGACCUCACAGCUACCUUUCCCCGCUUUCUAUACCUCUCAGGAGGAAGAAGAAGAAGAAGAAGAAGUAGAAGAAGAAGUUUGGACUUGAUAUCCCACCUUUCACUCCCCUUAAUAAUAAUAAUAAUAAUAGUUUAUUAUUUAUACCCCGCCCAUCUGGCUGGACUUCCCCAGCCACUCUGGGCGGCUUCCAAAAGAAUAUUAAAAUACUAUAAUACAUCAAACAUUAAAAGCUUCCCGAAACAGGGCUGCCUUCAGAUGUCUUCUAAAAGCCUGGUAGUUGUUGUUCUCUUUGACAUCUGGUGGGAGGGUGUUCCACAGGGAAGGAGCCACUACCGAGAAGGCCCUCUGCCUGGUUCCCUGUAACUUGGCUUCUCGCAGUGAGGGAACUGCCAGAAGGCCCUCGGUGCUGGACCUCAGUGUCCGGGUAGAACGAUGGGGGUGGAGACGCUCCUUCAGAUAUACUGGACCAAGGCCGUUUAGGGCUUUAAAGGUCAGCACCAACACUUUGAAUUGUGCUCGGAAACGUACUGGGAGCCAAUGUAGGUCUUUCAAGACCGGUGUUAUGUGGUCUCUGCGGCCGCUCCCAGUCACCAGUCUAGCUGCCGCGUUCUGGAUUAGUUGUAGUUGUAGUUUCCGGGUCACCUUCAAAGGUAGCCCCACGUUUGAGACUCCUUAAAGAGUCUCAAAGUGGCUAACAAUCUCCUUUCCCUUCCUCCUCCACAACAAACACUCUGUGAGGUGAGUGAGGCUGAGAGACUUCAAAGAAGUGUGACUGGCCCAAGGUCACCCAGCAGCUGCAUGUGGAGGAGCAGGGAAUCGAACGCUGUUCACCAGAUUACGAGUCCACCGCUCUUAACCACUACACCACGCUGGCUCUGCAAUGCAACCAACCAGAGGUUAGAUGAGCAGAGAUUGCCCACCACUCCAUGCAUUCCUGCUGUGAACUAUGGGGCACCUUAACGUUUAACCUCGAACAAAUUGCAUCAUAAACAUUUCUUACACAAAAACACUCCGGAAGAUGUGCUCUAUCACGGAUGCUUUAGCUGAGAUGGCUGCAUUUGCAGGGGGUUGGAGUAGAUGACCUGUGAUUCCAUGUAUGUGAAAUGUUCCCCUGAAACCGGAGCCCAGGAAAUUCGUCUGCCUCUUUGAAACAUGCCUUCAUUGCUUUCCCCCCUCACUCUUCUAUGCAUACAACUCAAUAUCUCUUGAUAUAAUUAAGACAGAAGAAUGAAUCACAGACAAUCUGGAAGAGCAUGUCUCGCACUUCAGGUCGAUGCAUAAUGCUUUGAAAUUUAUCCAAUUUAUUCUCUCUCAGAAAAUUAAGUCUCCAUCGCACCUUUGCUCGUGGCAAAUGUUCAGGAGCCGACUCCCCAGAUCCAAAUAACAUGUCUGAUAUUGAGGAACGUAAAUGUGAUGGAGAUGAAUGAGGAUAACAGAGACAAUGGCAUAUUGUACUAGGCAGCUCCAGUGGAGAUAUCAGUAUUUAUAUUCCUAACAAAACAGGAACAUGACUACUUUAAUAUAAAAAAUGGUCAAGCCAGGAGUUUAAAUAAUGAUUUGAAAACAACUUGGAGACAAUUCAGCUGCAAUUAUGCCCUUUAGAGUAGGGAUAUGGGAGAAAUUGAGUUUGUGAAAAUCCUAUUAGCACUUCUCAAAGGAAUACAUGGACCAAAAUGCAGCCAUCCUUUGGAAUUCACACUUCCCUGGGUUGUCUGGGGCAAAAUACAUGUAUAUUAUGGGAAACUAAGCAUGAAAAACCUUGCAUUAGUGAAAAUAGCAUGCAAAAUGCAUUGAAUUAGGGGAAAUUGCUUUAAAAUGUGUCCAUUAUGCAGAAUCACAUACACAAAUGUGUUUGUUAGGAGAAAUGAGAUGCUGAUGAAUUUUCAUAAUGAAUUGUAAAAAAGAAAAACAAAAAACAAACUGAUGCAGAGAUGUGGUGAACUGCGAAUUUAGGACUGGGAAAAUGAGACAGUGUAAUUGACAGAUAGGUCCAUCCUUCCUUUCAAGUAGCAUUUGUUUUCAAUGAGCAAAAUUUAAGCAUGUGCACGCUUGGCUUUCCUCUCCCUGCACAUAUCCCUAUAUCUGUUGCGGUUUGCCCCAACCACCCAGAGCAGAUUUGGGGAUGGUGUGGGGCAUGGCUGCCCUGCUGUUAUCUUUUCAUUCAGCAGCCUAACAGCCCUCGGAUAGAAGCUGUUCUUUACCCUGUUGGUGCCACUAAUCAUGCUUCUGUAUCUUCUGCCUGAGGGCAGGAGAUCAAGAAAGUGCCGGCCAGGGUGUGAAUCAUCCCUGAGAAUUUUCCUCACUCUCCUGAGGCAACGUUCUUCCACAAUGUCAUCCAGCAGAUUCACGGGACAGCCCAUAAUAUCUGGUGCUGUAUUCACCACCCUCUUUAGGCACUUCCUAUCAGUUGAUGUCAAACCAGCGUACCACACCGUGAUGCAGUAUGAAAGGACAUUUUCUAUUGUGGACCGGUAGAAGGAGAUCAUCAAAUGUUGAUUGACAUCGUUCUUUCGCAAUACUCUGAGGAGAUGGAGUUAACACAUUAGAACCAUCCAUGUGAAUUAGAUUGUAUUAAGUUUUUUCUUUGUUUCACAGUUGGCAAAUCUCUGCCCACCACUCCCUGAAAUGUGCUGAGCCUCCUUUUUCUCUCCUUCCACUAUCCAUGAAAACCCACCGCUCUGUUAUAUUUACAACCCAUCUAAUGGGGUUACUCAAGAUGGGGACAGGGUGAAGCAUUUGAUGUGGAGCUGAUAGUUCCCACAAGCCAUCUUAGUCAUCAUUUGUGAGCUUUAUAAACAGCAUCACCUUUGCAGCUAUUCCUUAAUUUAUGUUUUGGCUGCCACUAAUUGGUGUCUCACUGGGGGAUUUUUCUAAACCAGCUGGGUGACCAUAUGGAGAGGGCCAUUUUUAUUUUUAUUUUUAUUUUUAAAAAAAUUACAAGCCCUGCUGUUUAUAUACAUGGAAAACUAAGUACCUAGGGAAAUAAAACAUUUCUCGCUAUAUUUUGCAAGGGGAGUCAAAACAGAUGAAGGGAAGGAAGGAUUUUGUCAGAUUUCAUAGAUGGCAUUUUCACUACAUGAUGUUUAAAUAGCCCUCUGUCUUGCUGCUUAUGUGAACAUGGGAUCAUUGUGCAGGACAGGAAAACAGAGUAGUGGAACUGGUGAUAUAAACUGUGAUUGGUUGGUUGGUUGAUUGAUAGCAUUUUUGCUCCUCUCUUCAGCCAAAGAGGUUCUCAGAGAGGCUUAAGUAGUUUAACAGGGAAUACAAGUCCUGCCCUCAGGCUUACAAUUUAAAAGAUAUGGCAGUGAAGGAAAAAGGAAUGAGGAGGGAAAAGGAGAGGAGAGGAGAGAAAGCAAGCUCAGGCUUUUAAUAUUAUGGUUCUGAAUACUGACCAGCUGGGAUGGAAUUAGUUCAGGUAGAAUGAUAGAAUGGCCACCUCUAGGCGAUAGCCAAAGCAGUUAAUCUCUCUGCAGAGGCAAUGAAAUAGCCCUGCUUUGCUUUCAUCCCUCCACUCUGCAGCUUGGUGGAAUGGCUACCACUAUCCCAUAGCAAGCCCUGUUAUUUUUGUUCGUCAUUUAUUUGCCAAGAAGACCGUUUUAACAAGGAUGGGAAGGAAGGAGGGGGAGGGGGAACGGCAAUGAGAUCCAUACGACCCAUGUGUGGGUUAAUUAACAAAAGAAUUUGCUGAACGCCUAGAUUCAAAUCAUAGAGUUAAACAGCAGUAUACUGUUGGAAUAUGGGUUAUUGUUAUACCCUUUUUCAUAUCCCAUUUUUAAUCUCCUUACAGCUCUUGCCCUUCUCUGCACCCCUCUGGCAAUGAGCAGACCACACACGGUUAAGUAAGUUUAAAACACUUUACUUACAGAAUCCAAAGGUCUGAUUCAUAUGUCGUUCCACGCAGCAGCACAGAGAACAGAGGCAGAAGACUAUUGGGUGCAAAAUAUGGUAAGAUAGUUUCAAGCAUGCAGUCUGAACUUGGAGCAAGUUCAGACACAUCUUUCCUGGUCGAUUGCAUGGCAUGAAGAGAGUGGGAGAAAGGAAUAGAAGAUGCUUCACUUCCUCCCUUGUCGGAGCAGAGGGGGUGUAACCUAACAGAGUCUAGGAACACAGCUCUGUAAUGUGUGUGUGUUAAUGUAGGAGAGGGGGAUGCAAUCCCAUGUGCGGUAUAGCGGGCCAAGAAUACUUCCUAAGAACACCAGAACUCCGAGUUGGAAGGGGGAAGGGGGGGAAUCAUAAAACCAAUCAGCAAAACAGCAGGAAGGAAAGCUUUGCCAAGCUCCCUCGCCAAUUACUCUUCUGCCCGUGAAGUGCCAGAAGUUGGUGUGGAAUAACUCAAGCCUUAAUACUAUUGCUUUGUCCUCAAUUAAAGGUGCUGAGUUUCACAUCCUGGUUUGGCAGGCUGAAAGGGCGGAAGGAGGGCAAAAAUGCAGAGAGAGGCAAAUGUGGACAGAGAUGGCCCUACCAAUAGGCAGAGUGCAGAAGCUGGUGCCUGGAAGGGAUGGCAGCAGUGGCAGAGCCCUGACUGGACCCUUCUUCUGGAAGGCUGGCCAAUUUUUGUCAUGUGGCCUGUCCCACACCUCUAUAAUUCCCCUCAGGUGUGAUGGGGGACAUGGUCUCUUUGCUAGUCCAGUUGUUUUCUGAAUGUGGAAUGUGAAGUGAGGCAGGAGUUGAUAAUGCAGGCAGGAGUUGAUAAUGCAGGUGAGCUUCACACAGGUGAGCUGCAAGCAAGCUGCCAGCCAGCUCUGUGGAGGCUCCUUUUAUUGACACAAUAUGCAAACCCAGGCAGAUACAUUUUGGAUUGUGACCUUUACACAUCUUCCAGUCCCAAGAUUGUGGGGUGGUACAAAGCUAUUUUGGCACCUGUUUCCACUGCGUCAUUUUCCUCUUGCAGUGUAUGACGAAGGAGACAAAGGUCUCAGAGACAAAGGUUACAGACAGGACACCGCAGACUACUGAGACUGCAAAAGGUUAGACAGAGGGCAAGAUGUUCAGACAGCUGUGGCUUUAUCUAUGAGGGGGAAUCAUAGAAUCAUAGAAUCAAAGAGUUGGAAGAGACCACAAGGGCCAUCGAGUCCAACCCCCUGCCAAGCAGGAAACACCAUCAGAGCACUCCUGACAUAUGGGGAGUGUGCCCCGCACCCCAAGAUCACGCGUGCAGGCAGCUGAGGCUGCCUGCGGGUGGGAAGUGUGCUCCGCACCCAGCGAUCAUCCCUACAGAAUGUUGGGCAGGGGAAAAUCAUCUUGUCUUCUACUCAAACAGCGACACACAUUGCUCUAACAGCCAUGACUUCACCCCCAAGGAAUCUUGGGAACUAAUUUGUCAAGGGCGCUGAGAAUCAUUAGGAGAACCCUAUUUCCCUCACAGAGCCCCAGAGUUCAUGGGAAGUGGGAUUGACUGUCAAAACACUCCAGAGGCGCCAUUUUGUGUCCAUGAUUUGGGGGGAUGGCAGUGUGUGUCAUGUGUGUUUGGCAUUGUGUGCCCAGAGUGCAUCCGACGUGUGAGACUUCAUGUGCCCAGCACAUAUCCCAUGCCUGUGACAUCAUGAGCCUGGUGCGCAUGAUGUCACAUCGGUGGGAGGAGGCCAAGCACAGCCCCCAUCUUGGUGUGACUUCCUCUCUCCAGUGUAGUGUAGUGGUUAACAGUGUGUUUGUUGUGGGGGAGGAAGGGAAAGGAGAAUGUUAGCCGCUUUGAGACUCCUUAGGGUGGUGAUAAAGUGGGAUAUCAAAUCCAAACUACUACUACUACUACUACUACUACUCUUCUUCUUCUUCUUCUUCUUCUUCUUCUUCUUGCGCUCAGGAGGUGCCAGCUACUGAAUCAUGCCAUGCUCGGCCCCCUCUGCCCCCUCAACAUUCAGGGGCCCAGUUCCCUGCCAGCAAAUAUUGAGGGGGCCAAAGGCCCCUCCACCCCUAGGAGUUGGCGUCCCUGAACCACUCUGAUAAGUGUAGCUCUCUGAACCCUUAACAAAUUAUUCUUUUGGAGAAGCCAGGACUCAUAAAAUGGUAUAACACUUCAUAAGUGUAUGAUGCAAAUGUGUCAUAUGGGUCUGACUGUAGGGGCUGGCUCUUGUCACAGAAAAUGCUGCAAAGGACCCAUAACAAAGAGGGAAGCAUUUUGUUCUGGAGUGGACUUUUAAGAGUCUGCCAGAUGUUUUCUAAGACAUUAAUCCAUGCUGGUUUGCGGAUUUGUCUCCCCACUUCCUUAUGGUAGGGCCACGGUGAAUCAAUGCAAGUUCCUUAGUUUGUCUGUAAGGGGGAAGGGACGGUCUCUUGUAAAUAUCAAACAAUACUCUUAUUUGCUUGAUUUGUUUGAUCAGGCUUUGCUCCCUAUUAAAAUAUGGUAAUGGGUCUGAAAUCUGAGAGAUAUUGUAUAACGAUUAUGAAUGCUAUUUAUUCAUUAACACUCUAAACUGGGUUUGUGGGAUUUUAAGGGCGAGUGGAUUUGUUGGUGUGCUGGGAUAUUUGAUGAGGAGUGUUGUGAAGGGAGUUCAGGAGGCUCCUGAUUUCUUUCGGAAUGGGGAGAUGAGCUGAGCAGUGAUCCCUGGAGGUUGACCACUAAGGAAAAGCAACAGUCCAACAGAGAGCAAAAGGGAAGCCGGGAGACUUGUGUCUGGUUCUGAACACCACGUUUUAAGAAAGGCGUUGGCAAAUGGGAGCACAACUGGAGGAAGGCAAUGAGAAUGGUGAGGAAUCUGGAAACUGAGCCUGUAGGAGGCCAUUGAAAGAGCUAGGUGUGUUUAACCUGGGAAAGCACAGCUAAAGUAGGGGGGACAUGACAGCUGUCCUCAAAUUGCAUCUUCAUGUUAGACACUCUCACCCAUAGGAGGCAGUGAUGGCCACCAACAUGGAUGGAUCAUAGAACUGUAGAACUGGGAGGAAUCCCGGUGGUCCUCUAGUCUAAUCCCCUGCAACGUGGGAAUUUCAACUAGAUCAUACAUGGUAAGUGGUGUGAUGGCCUGGGACUCGGGCUCAGACUUGGAACCAGAGGAGUCUCAGUCUGCACCGGAUCCUUUGCCUCAGGCAUCAUCUGAACCAAGUCUGGGGCCUGAUCCUGAAGAGUCCCAGUCUGCACAGGUUCCCCUGCAACAAAACCAGCUGGGCCGAGUCAGGGUCCUGAGCCUGCCCUGGCUCCAGAUGUGGGGAUUACCUUGCUGCCUUCAGCUGGGCCAUCACUUACAGCUGCUCCACUACCGGUUGGGUCAGGGGAGGCUGAGGCGGCCCCUGGGUCUAGUAACCCACUGACGUCUCCCGAGCUGCAGAGACUAAGGUCUGAGAGAAGGAGAGACCUGAGUACUCACGGAAGGAGUGCUCGCCUUCAAGCAAAACAGGGAGGUGAGUCGCUGGGGGAUCAGGACUGGCCACUACCCCGACAAAGAUAAAGGGCUGUCGGACCCCGCCCCAGGUUGCGGGAGCAAAAUUACUGUAUGCCAGAUCCUGCCUGAGAUCCUGUACCUGUCCUUGCCUGGUUUCCUGCCUCGUGUCCUGUCUUGAUCCUGUCGGACUGACUCCUAGCGGAACCUUCGGAUUCUGGACCGGACCUGGACCACUGUUCUUGGGUUACCCCCGGGCCCAGCACAGGUGGCCUUCCAACCUCUGCUUAAAAACCUGUUCUACUGUUGAACAGCUCAUGUACUGUCAGAAAGAAAUUCCUGGAGGAUAAAGCUAUGAGUGGCUACUAGUCAUGAUGGCUCUGAUCUGCUUCCACAGUCAUGCAGUAAUGAAUACCAGCUGCUGCAAAUCAUGGCAGAAGAGAGUGCUUGGGUUUGUUUAUUUCUUUAUUUUGUAGGGGCUCUGUGGGGCUCAAGAAGCAGAUACUCUGAGUCAGAGGAUGGUGACCAUGCUGUGUCUUCUUUGGGGGGAAAGCAUGAAGCUCCUUCUUGGCAGUGUUGUCCAUUGCACAUGUCAAGAUCCCUGGACCAUGACACCUCCCGUAUCUAUACUCUCAGCCUUUGCAAAUUUCAGGAUGACUCCUUAACGCAAAGCUCUUCCAAGAAGCAUCUGCCACCUUUAAGUUUCAAACUGGUGAGCCUGUUGGCAUAAGGGAAUAAGGUGAACACAUUUGAGAAAGACGUUACGCCAAACAAUAACCCCACUGCCCCAUAUUCCCCAUAGUGAAUCUAACCUAUCAGAAAUCCCAGUAAUUAGGUGACAAUUAGAACCCAACACUGUCCAGAAUUUCUGCAUAGUUCAAAGCCUCCCAUUUAUUGUACUUUUGAAGUACUUUGAUCUUGAGAGAUCUUCAUCACUUAUAAAUGAACCAGUCAUUAAUGGCUUUUUAUGCAUCUCCAGAGAGCUAUCACCAUUCUCAUUAAUCACAGAGACUAAACAACUCCUUUUCCAAAGCCAUAUAUUAUCUAACACUUGUUCUUUGCUACCUUGGCCUUCGGGGUCUUAUAUAUUCCAAAUGAAUGAAUUUAAGAUAACAAUUUUUUUAAAAUAAAAAGUCUUCUGGAGGGUUGCAUACCUUAUUGUUCCCCUUUAACUCAAAAUUGAUCAAAUAUAGCUUGCAGAAUGAGGAAAGGAAGGGACAGCUGCAGGUUUGGAUUAAUCACGAUGCUGAAGCUAGGGUUGCCAUAUUUUGAAGAGCAAAAAAGAGGACACAUUUGCUGACUUCUACUUUUAACUGUGGAUCACUAUGACGACUCUGCCCAUGAAAAAGAGGACAUGUCCUGGAAAAAGAGGACAUAUGGCAAGCUGGACUAAAUGAAGAGGGGAGAUGCUGGUUCCUCUCCAGUUCCUAUAGAAACUCUGCUAAUCUAAAUCUAAGGUCUAUCCCCCAACAUGCUGACAUGUCACCCACAUAAGUCACUGAUAAGAUGUUUUAUCCAAGAAAGGUCAAAAAAUGGUCUGUUCCCUACCAAUAAGAAGCUCCCAACCAUUGGCUGGGGUGUUAGGUCAUAGAAACAUUAGAAGAAUUAGAAGAUAUUCUAUCUUCUGAGGUAGAUGGUUGAAUGUGGACAUCCUCAUGCCUCGUACGUAAAGAGGAUGCCUGUUCAACAAAUGAGAAGCCAUUCUCUCUUCUGAAAACUAAGGUACGUAGAAAGGUCCAAAGGCUGGGUCUUCACAAGCACAUUUCCGUUACAGCAGGGACAGUGAACCAGUGACCUCCAUAUGUUGUUGGACUCCAAAACCCAUCAACCCCACCAGCCUGGUCAGUGGUCAGGAGUGAUUGGAGCUGUAGUUCAGCAGCAUUUGGAGGACCACAGCUCUCCCAUCCCUCUGUUACAAACGUGGUCCAACACCAGUGUAGCAUCAGUAAUGAGAUUUUCGCUGAGAUUGCGGCAUUGCCGGGGGUUGGACUAUAUGACCCAUGGGUCCCUUCCAGCUCUAUGAUUCUAUGAUCACUAAGCUGGAGAAUCUCCAGGCUCCACUGGAUCAAGAAGACUUCAUUUGCACUCUGAUCCUUAAUGGGCAGCUGUAAUUUUAGUCUAAGAUGGUGCUGUUAACUGGAAGGGGAAUAUGAGACGGCAGCAUCUUCUUGCUAUCUGUUUCCAAAUCUUUUAAACACUGGGCUACUCCUCCUUCAUGUCUGUGUUCCUUGAUCCAGAACACCCAGGCACUAGUUCCUUAAGUGACUUGGGGCACAGGACCAUGACACAAUUUUUCAUAAAAACUGAAUAUGUUCAUUGAUGCAAGUUAAGGCCAACUUUCAUAGGGAAAGUCACCCUGUAAACAAAGGUCCUGUGCUAAGUCUUAUGCAGAGUAGACCCAAUGAAGUUGAUGGGCAUGACUAAUUUAUGUGUAUUCAUUGCAAUGGCCCACUCUGAAUAAGAAUCCUGCUUGCGAGUUUCCAACAGGCAUCUGGUCAACUGUGAGAACAUUAUGCUGAACUUAAGGGGUCACUGGUCUUGUGCUGGUCCCAAGGGUUACAGUGCAGCGAGGUCCGAGUCUAGUCCGAGGUUGAGGGUGCGGUAUUGAGGCUGUCCGUCAAAGCUGAAGUGGGGUCCAAGACAGGGAGUUGGGUGAGGUCAGGAACUCUGGCAGAAGAGCAGGACAGGGUGCAGGCAGGAACAGGCUACCAAAAAUGUUGCUCCCGCAACCUGGGACUGGGCUGGCUGGCUUUUAUCUGCCCCAAGGCAUAGGGCAGCCCUGGUCCACAGGUGACUCGCCUCUCCUGGCCUGGAGGCAAGCACUCCUCCUGAGAGAACUUAGUUCCUUCCACCUCUCUGCCCUGAGCCUCUGCAGCUCAGGAGAGGCUGGAGGGUUACCGGACUCAGAGGCAACCUCAGCUCCCCCUGACGGGGCUGAGAGCAGGCAAUGGGUCCUCCAUCACCUCAGGAGCCAGAGCAGACUCAGCUGGUGCCUGCACCUGAGGAUCCAGCACAGGUGAGGACCCUUCAGUCUCAAGCCCCAGCCCCGGCUCAGCUGGUUUUGGAGGCGGGGACUCCUGUGCAGGCUGGGAUUCCUCAGGUUCCACCUCCAAGUCCGAAUCUCAGGCCAUCACAGGUCUGAUCUUAUUCUGUUAUGACUUAGCUGAGUAUAACACAAAGUAUUGUGUGUGUGUUUUUGAAAAAUCUGAAGUGUUGGGGGGGGUUUAGGUCAAAGGGAAAGGAGACCCCAAAACUUCCCCGGAGAAGCCCCUUAGAGAAGUGAGGCUGCAGUGAGAUUUUUUCAAUCUUUGUUUACUUCUUUUGCACCACUCCCCUUCCGUCCUCCUGAUCAGAAUGGCUUUACAAAGGACUCCACUCCACCGCCAACUUUGGCAGAAGGCUUGGAAGCACACCUCCCUCUCACCAUUCCUUUAUUACUUUUACAGCCUUUCCCUACUAUCACGGCACUUUUAUGACGAAAGGAGCGAUUGCCUCACUCUUGAUCAAGUCCAAGAGCAACCCUCGGGGAUGCAUAUAACUUUUCACAAUAUUCUUAACAGCGGUUUCUCACGUAUUCCUGGGUGGGCAGCACUUGCUAGCAACUCCCCCAGUGCCGUUUUAUGGAAGGAAAUGUGCAUUCUGGUUUGGGUAAGGGAAAACAAAGAGACAGACACACACAGAGAGAAAGAGAGAGAUCCCUUCUUCAUAGCACCUCCCACGCAGCACCACGCACAAAUCCUUUCACCCAUCUGCCCCCACAUGUCUUAACUCUCUGCAUUUUGUUUUAGAGACAUUUCCCUCCCCCCCUCCCCAAUGCCCAGGUUCCAUCCUGAACCAAGUAACAAGCUUAAAGCGAUACCUUCGUUUCCUUCUAGGAAUUGUCAGCAUGCAUUAUUGCCUAGAAUGCAGUGCUUAAUCAUGUCUUCUGCACUCCUCUAAGUGUUGCGUGUGUGUGAGAGAGAGAGAGAGAGAGAGAGAGAGAAAGUAUUCAGUUCAUCCGUGAUUUCUGCUCCACUGGAGGUGUGAUGCUCCAUUUAGGGAGAGUGAGAUGAAGCGUUGGUCUUGACCAAAGGAAGAAGAUUUCGUUAAACGUUGCAAGUAUUCGAAAAAGGAUGAAAACGGGAAAUUUUCGGUCUUGAACUGAGGAAUACCUGGCAGAGAUUCACAAUGGACACCUCUACCCAGCCUUUGGCUUACCAGGCAGAGGGACUUCUCGGUAGUGGCGCCCGUCCUGUGGAACACCCUCCCACCAGAUGUCAAAGAGAACAACUACUACUAGACUUUUAGAAGACAUCUGAAGGCAGCCCUGUUUAGGGAAGCUUUUAAUGUUUGAUGCAUUAUUGUAUUUUAAUAUUUUGCUGGAAGCCACCAAGAGUGGCUGGGGAAGCCCAUCCAGAUGGGCAGGAUCUAAAUUAUUAUUAUUAUUAUCAAUGAAAGGGUGCCCGCAGGGGCAGCACAUUCCAUAUUGCCGCUCGAGGUGAAGCAGGAACAGCUGCCCUGCUGGUGCAUGAGGGGCUGGACUAAGGAGGAAUGGUGGGAGCCGCCCCCUCCCUUUUUCUGAACCUUCCCAAGGGCAGGAGGACAGCAUUGAUUUAGAACAGUGGUUGCAGAGGGGCAUAGUCCAGAGGGGGAAAGCUGGGAAACACUGGGUGAGGAACAGCUAAAAGAGGAAACACCAGGAGAUAGCUGGGAGAUUCAGUCUCCUUGGACAGCAUUCCUGACACACACACCCCUUUGCCCAAGACUAGACAGACUUGGAGAGUGAUAGAACAGAAAGUGCAAUGGCAACAAGCUCAGAUUACAUGACAUAGGAGUGGCAUAGAUUAAUGGGGAUGGAGGGGGUAGACCUUUACUGGGAGCAACGCCAUUUCUAGAAGAUAUAUGCAUUCCUUUGUCUCUCGCUGUGAUUAUUAAAGAAACAAACUGGUAAGAACGCUCCUUUCGCUUGAUCUGCCUAUCCACUGCCACCGGGGGAGGGAUCUGAUUCCCCGACGCCUGACAUGGUGCCACUGCUGCCAGCAUUCCCACUGGCACCAUACCUGCUGCCUCCAACAGCUGCACUGCCCACUCUGCAGCUGCCGUGCAUCCUGCCACAUCCACCGCUGGAGCAGGGCUGAUAUCAGGCAAAGGUGCACCGAUUUUGGGUGAGAUCUUGCCCCGAAUUGCAUGAGGUAUCACAAGCACUGCAAGAUCUCAUGGCGAAUGGAUGCAAUCUCGCCCAAAACCAGUGCUGUUUGUGGUGGUGCUUGUACGCCACUGGUAGAGGUGGCAGGGCAGGCAGGGCACACACAAAGCACUGCCUCAGGGACUUCUGCCAUCUGAGGCUGUGACCUCACACUGCCUAAUGGCUGAGCCGGCUCCAGACACCAGGGACAAAUAGCCAGCAAAGAUCCCUUGCACCAACAGGCUGCAACAGAUUAUCUGAUAAUCCCUGACCCGUAUGAAAGCUUCUGGAUUAGGCUAGUUUAGGAAGCCACCUUGCCGACAAAGGUCCAUAUAGUUAAAGCUAUGGUUUUCCCAGUAGUGAUGUAUGCAAGUGACAACUGGACCAUAAAGAAGGCUGAUCGCCGAAGAAUUGAUGCUUUUGAAUUCCAGCCUUACUGGGAGAGGCCAGGGAUUGACCCUGAGAACAGAAGAAUAUAAGACUUUUUGCAUGUGAUGCAGAUGUUCUGCUGUUGAGCCCUGGCCAUUUCUACAUAGCUUAUUGCCCUGAUCAAUAAGAAGACAGGUUUUUUGCUGACCACAAAUUGCUUUUGUCCUCCAGGGGGGAAGGAUUAGGAAAAAGGAGGCCUGAUUUAACCCCGGCACUUGGUUGCUACUUCUCUGCAUUUGGUAUCUCAACCAUGCUAGCUGUAUCUAUAUCCAGGAACCACGGAGGUGGGCAUUGUGUAUAGGUGUGUUUUUGUGUUACUUCACACACCUGUACUGAUGGGCAAACUGUACACUGUCAGGGGAAGCAACUGGUCACUGAAUAGUUAUUAUUACCCUGACCCAUGGAAAUCUGCCCCUUGAAGUUUGCCUUAAGAAACAGCCAAUUUGAUCAUUACUUCAAGUCAAGUUGCUGUGGUCUUACUUGAACCUUCUCUGUUUUGUGUGACCUAGAACAACUAUUCCUUAUGAAUCCACUCUUGCAAGCCGGCUAAUGCAAAUGCACUGAUUCUUUGUCUGCAUAAUGUAUGCCAUAUGUAUCAUUUGGAUCUCCUUGGUGCAGAAACGAGAACUUCGUUUUUGUUUUUGAAUGGAAUAGAUGAGUCUCCAGCAUUGAGAGGAGGCCCUGCUGUUUCGGGGGCCACAAAGCACGGCCGUUCCCUUUGGCUCUGCUUCAUUAGCCCAUCUGCAUUUCAGCCCUGCGGCAGAUAACAAUCUCCUUUCCACUGUGCUGAAAAAAGAACAGUCAACUGGGAAUACAAGGCUGAGCUCUAAGUAUAGAUUUGGGUUCCCCUGCCCGGAUCUUAAUGGAGCAAGGAGUUAGUGGCAGACAAUCUUCGCGCUCUUACCUGCUGAAUCAUCAGAACUCUCACACUUUGGUAAUUGAGGAAAACAUAUAAAUACUGCAUAGAGAUCUCCUUGGGCUGUGUUCGUAAAACAGUUAUGUUCUGUUAAAGUGCUUUUCUUGUACAGGUUAAUCUCUCAAAACAAAAGCUGGGAAAUAACAGCAACCAAACCAAGCUGUAUUUCUGCUACACGAUAAACCCUCUCUUUGCUUGUCUGCAAAUAAAUGAUUCCCAGAGGCUCUCCUAUUCAGAAGCGGAGAGAACCUUUUUUUAAAAAAAGGGAACUGAAACCAUAAAAUUGGAACAAGAAAUUACUCUCAAGCCCCAUAUCCCCUCCCUUUCAACCUACCAGCGGGCACCUAUCACCCUCACAGACCUUCCAAGUGUCCCUAUUUUCCAGGGACAGUCCUGGAUUUAUGGAAGCCAUCCCAGUUUCUGAUUUGAUCCCAGAGUGUCCCGCUUUUCCAUGUUGUGUUGUUUAGUCGUUUAGUUGUGUCCGACUCUUCGUGACCCCAUGGACCAGAGCACGCCAGGCACUCCUGUCUUCCACUGCCUCCCGCAGUUUGGUCAAACUCAUGCUGGUAGCUUUGAAAACACUGUCCAACCAUCUCGUCCUUUGUCAUCCCCUUCUCCUUGUGCCCUCCAUCUUUCCCAACAUCAGGGUCUUUUCCAGGGAGUCUUCUCUUCUCAUGAGGUGGCCAAAGUCUUGGAGCCUCAGCUUCAGGAUCUGUCCUUCCAGUGAGGCACUCAGGGCUGAUUUCCUUAAGAAUGGAUAGGUUUGAUCUUCUUGCAGUCCAUGGGACUCUCAAGAGUCUCCUCUAGCACCAUAAUUCAAAAGCAUCAAUUCUUUGGAGAUCUCUUUUCCAUAGGAUGUCCCUAUUUUCAUCAGAGAAAUGUUGGGGGGUAUGGAGUUAUGCAACUCCCAGGCAAAGGAGCUAAGUAACUAUACAACCUUUAGGAGACAUCUGAAGGCAGCCCUGUAUAGUUUUAUCAUGUUUUAAAAUAUGUUAGAAGCUGCCCAGAGUGGCUGUGGCAACCCAGUCAGAUGGGUGGGGUAUAAAUAGUGUUACGGAAAUGUUGGGGGGGGGGAUCUUUAAAGUUUUUACAUGUUACAAAUGUUAUGCCUGAAUGUAUCCUUUCGACUUGACAGCUCAGGGAAGAUACCUAGCUUUAUAAAUUCAUAGAAAAUCCAUACUUUUAACCGACUCUCCUCAUUCCAACUCCAUUUUAACCCUUAAAGAAAGGUGGAUUUGGGCUCCACCUCCUCCAUGAACCAAGAAGCAGGAAGUCACUGUAGGCAGCAGGAACAGGGUAUCCCGCCAUAAUUCCUCAAGCAUGAGAGCACAUACAUGGCACCCCACACGGGAGUGACCAAGGGGGCAACAAUAGGCAUCUGCAGAGGCUGUUUAGCAAGUCAGGUGUUCUGAAAGCCCAUCUCCAGACAAGUCUUCUUGAGGGUAAUGAUAUGUAAAGAGUUUUAUUGUUCUUUCGGUGAUAGGUACUUAAGAGGUAUUGGGAAAGGUGUCUGAUAAACUGACCUAAUGUUGAACUUGUGUAACCCUUGUAUAGUAAAAGUAAAGGGACCCCUGACCAUUAGGUCCAGUCGCGGACAACUCUGGGGUUGCGGCGCUCAUCUCACUUUACAGGCCAAGGGAGCCGGCGUACAGCUUCUGGGUCAUGUGGCCAGCAUGACUAAGCCGCUUCUGGUGAACCAGAGCAGCACACCGAAACACCGUUUACCUUCCCACUGGAGCGGUACCUAUUUAUCUACUUGCACUUUGACGUGCUUUCAAACUGCUAGGUUGGCAGGAGCAGGGAACGAGCAAUGGGAGCAAGGACUGUCGCGGGGAUUUGAACCACCGACCUUCUAAUCAGCAAGCCCUAGGCCCUGUGGUUUAACCCACAGCGCCACCUACGUCCCUUGUAUACCCCUCCCCAUUUGUGACAUGCUAGUGAUGUAGUGAUGAUGUAUCAAUGAUGCUGCUUGAAGUGUAUUCUGGGGGAAAGAGGGAAGUUUUAAAAGAGGAUGUCACCCUAUGCUCGGGGUUCUUACUUCAGGGAGCCAAUGUGUUGUAGUGGUUAAGAGUGGUAGACUCGUAAUCUGGUGAACCGGGUUCGCUUCCCCGCUCCUCCACAUGCAGCUGCUGGGUGACCUUGGGCCAGUCACACUUCUCUGAAGUCUCUCAGCCUCACUCACCUCACAGAGUGUUUGUUGUGGGGGAGGAAGGGAAAGGAGAAUGUUAGCCGCUUUGAGACUCCUUUGGGUAGUGAUAAAGCAGGAUAUCAAAUCCAAACUCUUCUUCUUCUUCCUAUGGGGACGUGUUGCACAACAAUAAAUAUCAUGGUCUACUUUCUUGGCUGGAACUUCCUUCUUUUACUGACCGCACGGACCCGCGGGGGACUUGCACCCUGAUGCGCUGGGCUGUUGAGUAGUCUCUCACCCUGGAAUUUCCCCCCUUAACAAUAGUAAAACUAUUAUUGUGGAAUAGGACGUCCCUAGUUUCAUCGAAGAAAUGUUGGAGGGUAUGCUCUAUGCCUUGCCUUUAUCCUCUGUCAGGCUGAGCAGCUCUGGGUGCUGCGCAUGCUCUCGCCACACUCUGACUUCCAGUCUGACUGGCUCACCUUCCAGUUGGACCUUGGCACGCCAGAGACAAAGCCUUCCUUCCCUUUCCUCACAAUUACGCCCCUUCGUUGAUUUUGUCUCUGUCCAAACAUGUUUGUGAAACGCAGUGAAAACCUGCAACGCUUUGGUGAACAUAGACAACUGCAGGCAGAGACCAGGGACAAUGGCUCUUGUUUCUUCCCAACUUCACCUCUCCUGGGGGAAGGGAGCUGACUAUUGUCUGUCUCCAGUCUUUGGUGAAUGAGGCAUUUUCCUGCCUAGCAGUCGCCUGGCUUUCUGAAAUGAUUCAGGAUCUUUGAUGGGAUGAAAGGCACUCUAUAAAUCCCAGUUUAUUACUAUUAAGCGGGGCUCCGAAUGAGUAUUGCCCCUGCCUUGGAGGCGACUCCCAUCUGCGGGCUGCUUAUUUGUCUAUAAAUCAUAGAAACCUACAUUUCUGGGGUGUUGUGUUGUUUUUUUCUAGCUUUGUAUAUGAAAUAGGAAGCUUCUGUGACAUUCUCUGAAUCACCAACAGCUUCCCCACAGUUUCUCAAAGGAAAGUUACCAAUAUAUUCAUUUCCUACUGUGAAAAUACUUGCAGUCCUGAGCACUAGGAGGAGGGGGGAUGGAUGGCUUUGAACAUACUUUCGCUUUCUUUGUUUUUGUUUUUGCCAAGUUAUUCUAUAAUAUCCUCCAGGCAUUCUUUUAACAAAAAUAAAUGCACGCUAUUUUCCUCCCAUUUUGCAGUGAGCGUCCCUGACACCGGGGCCUCCUUUGCAGCUAUACUUUUUGCUGAGAAGAUCCGGAAGCGUGAAUUUUCUUUUAUUAGUUCGUUCAGUGGUGUUGCGGUCUUCAGCUAACAUAUUAAUAACUGCAAUAACUUCUGUGUAAUUAUCUUAUAAAUAUGAUGCAACCCCAUUUGUCUUGAUGGCACCGGGAUUGGGAUGGCAGGGAGACACGCAGGCUUGCAUUGAAUGCAGUACUAAGCCAAUCCUUCUGUUAGCGUGAGGUUUUAUACUUCUGCAUUGGGACUCCCCCAAAUCUCCUCCCCUGUGCACCCCCUAAAUUUGUUCUGGGGUUUUCCCCAACCCUCUAGAGCAGGCAUGUGGUUCCCACAGGUGGAAGAGAGUGGAGAAAUUUCAUUGCACUACUGCCAUAUUUUUUUUGGUAUAGCUAUAUUGGUGUAAGAAUACUGGCAAUGAUUGCUGGUAUUCACAAGUCUGGCAAACUCCUCUUCUAAAAGAUAUUUCCCACAAGUUGAAAGUAGCAUCAUGGAUCCUUUAGUUUAGAAUCAUGCAUUACAGGGGGUUGGACUAGAUGGAAGGGGUCUCUUCCAACUCUACGAUUCUGUGAUUAUAAGACACCAAUUUUUUCACAAUAUGGCAUGACUUUAUUUUAUUUACAAGUGAAGAAGCCCAUGGCCAUAGGUUCCCUCCUGUUUAUGUCAAGGUGUGGAUUAUGUGAAAGUACAUGUAGGCAGACAUAGGCUCUUUAUAUAUAAAUUGGAUUAAUGUUAAUUGGGGAGAAAGGGAAACAUUGUUUCAUUAUUAGUUUUUUUCAUUUAGGGACUCCUCGAGGAAAUGCCUACUUCCAUGGAAAACAGUGUAACUCUUUUGUCUUUUCCUGCUGGAUCUUACGUCACGUAUUAUUUUGGUGCAGGCCUUUUUCAUUAUUUCAUUCCAUUUGCAUGUAAUUUAUUCCACCUUUUGUCAUAAUUUACAAAUUCUAAUAAUAACGAAUAGCGGCAAUGCUGGUCAGUUUUCUUCACCGGAACCGCUUUCAUGAGCAAAUCUUUUUCCUUCCUAAAAAAUGAUGCUCUGUUGUGUGUGUGUGUGUCUUAAUUGAUGUGGGAAUGAUAAGCGAAAGCCCCCACUAGGAGUCAGUGUUGUGUCACUGUCUAAAGCAGGCUGCCCUCCCUUCUCCUUCAGCGUGAGUUAUCCAGAAGGCAGAUGAGAGGAGCAGAGGGGUGCAGCGCGCAGGUCAGCUCCCAAAUAAACACAUCAAAGCGCCAAAAAACAUACCGCAUCCUGAUCUUUAGAGGCCGGUUUAUCUGAAUCUCACUUGAACUGUACUGAAAAGCAUUUCCACUGAAGCGGUGAGCUACGCCGCCGCAAUUGACCCACGUCUAAGGUGGGCUCUGCUCACCAUUCUUCCCCUUCAUUUCCUUUUCUUCCAGCGCUGCAUUUCCCCUUCAUCGGCCUUGGAUCCUAAUCAGAUGCAGUUCUUGGUCUAAUGAAAGCAGAGGUUGCACCUAACAAGCUGCAAGCCUUAUCUGCUUUUGGGAAGAGUCCCUCUGUAAGGUGCCUGGGGAGAAGGAGGGUCUCUCGGCAGAACAGGCUUCUCCAACUUAGUGCCCUCCAGAGGUUUUAGAUUACAACUCGUGUCAGCCCCCAAACCAGCAUAACAUGCUGGUUAAGAACUUAUGGAAGCCGCCAAGAGUGGCUGGGGAGGCCCAGCCAGAUGGGCGGGGUAUAUAUAAUAAAUUAUUAUUAUUAUUAUUAUUAAGAAGAGCACUACUGGAUCAGGCCAAAGUCCCAUCCAGUCCAGCAUUGGUUUCUUAAAAAGGUAAAGGGACCCCUGACCAUUAGGUCCAGUCGUGGCUGACUCUGGGGUUGCGGCACUCAUCUCGCUUUAUUGGACGAGGGAGCCGGCGUACUGCUUCCGGGUCAUGUGGCCAGUAUGACUAAGCCACUUCUGGCGAACCAGAACAGCGCACAGAAACGCUGUUUACCUUCCCGUCGGAGUGGUACCUAUUUAUCUACUUGCACUUUGACGUGCUUUCGAACUGCUAGGUUGGCAGGAGCAGGGACCGAGCAACGGGAGCUCAUCCUGUCGUGGGGAUUCAAACCACCGACCUUCUGAUUGGCAAGCCCUAGCUUCUGUGGUUUAACCCACAGCACCACCCGCGUCCCUCCAUUGGUUUCUUAACAGUGGCUAAAUAGAUGCUCAUGGGAAGCCAAACUGAUGUAACAGUAAUCUUUCCAUCCACCUGUGAUUCCCUGCUACUGGCAGUCUGACAUAGAGCAUACUCAUCAUGCUAUCAGCCACUGAAAGCCUUAACCUCCAUGAAUUUGUCUAUUCCUCUUUUAAAGCCAUCCAGAGUUGGCCACUGUCACUACCUCUUAUGGGAGCCAACUACUUCUACUGCCAUUGUUGUUGUUGUUUUCGUUGUCAGCUUUCUUCACACAUUCUAGCUUGUCAAUAUCCUUCUUAAACUGUGGAUCCCAAAACUGGACACAAUAUCCCACGUGUGGUAAGGCAGAAUAGAGCAGCACUAUUACUUCCCUUGAUCCGGACAAUAUACCUCUCUUGAUGCAGCCUAGAACCGCAUUUAAUUUUUUGUUUGUUUGUUUUGAGUUUGAGUGUUUUGCUGCUGCAGCAGCAUCGCACACUGUUCAUGCAUGUUAAGCUUGUGUUCUGCAUCCUUUUCACAUGUGCUGAUGUCAAGCCAGGUGUCCCCCAUCCGAUAUUUAUGCACCUGAUUAAUAUUCUUCCCUAAGUGUAGAAGCUUACAUUUGUCCCUAUUGAAAUUCGCUUUUGUUGGUUUUGGAACAAAACAACAAACAUAUUCAUUAUUCAUGGCAUUUUGGGGGGAGGGGGCCGGGCGAUAAAUGAAAAUUGAACCAAAGGGACAUCAUUUGGUUUGAUUUCUCAUUCUUUCCAGUAGACAUGCAUCUCGCUACUUUUCCAGAGAGUCAGCGGAGACAUUCAUCUGCCAGCAAUCAAUCAUAGUGAAACUGAGUAAUGUGCGUUCCUGUAGGGGCUGAGUGGAAACAGGCAGUGGCAAGAUGUUUGGGACCCUGAUUAGUUCUGAGGAUAGACUCCUUGGUAUAUGGCUUUGCUAUAGAUCACAGUGAAAUAAUGAUUAAAAAAAAGUGAGAGAAAGAAUCAUCUUACUGUCCAGAAAACAAAACAAUAGUUCCUCUGUAAUAAUGAUGUUCAGGGGAUGCCCAGCCAGUGAUACCCCAAAUUGGAUACCCCAAGAUAGGAAGGUGUAUUCAGGAAAGAUCAGCAGCAUGCCUUGUUAAAGUCUCACUUACUGCCUGCAUUAUAUUUGCGGUCCUUUGCUUCCUCAUGACAUCCUGUCUGUCACUGCGAUCUCUUUUGCUUCCCAGGUGAUGGAGGUUUGGGGGAUGCAGCAAAAGAUUUCAGGGAGGUCACUGUUAGUUGCCCCUUGCAUGGCUCAGGUGCAUAUCUUGUACAGUGGUACCUCGGGUUAAGAACAGCUCAGGUUACCUGUUGUGACAGGAUACCUGCUGCAGGUUACUCACUCUUGCAAAGGUAAUUUUCAAAAGAUACAAAUUUAAUUUCCAGAGCAGCUACACCUGAAUGACAGUGGUACCUUGGGUUAAGUACUUAACUUGUUCUGGAGGUCCGUUCUUAACCUGAUACUGUUCUUAACCUGAGGUACCAUUUUAGCUAAUGGGGCCUCCCCCUGCCGCUGUGCCACCGCCGUGUGAUUUCUGUUCUCAUCCUGAAGCAAAGUUCUUAACCCGAGGUACUAUUUCAGGGUUAGCAGAGCCUGUAACCUGAAGCGUAUGUAACCUGAAGUAUAUGCAACCCGAGGUACCACCGUAUCGACCAAGAGCUGUGGGUUCAGUACAGUGGUACCCUGGUUGUCAAAUUUAAUCCGUUCCGGGAGUCCGUUCGACUCCCAGAACCAUUCGAAAACCAAGUUGCGGCUUCCGAUUGGCUGCAGGAGCUCUGAAAAAUGUUCGCAAACUGGAACACUCACUUCUGGUUUUGCAGCAUUUGAGAAUCAAGGUACCACUGUAUUGUGAAUCCAGUUCUGUGGGGCUCCCUCCCAGCUGAGAUCAGGCAUGGCUCCCCUGCCUCUUGAAUGUUCAGGAACUAUAAGUCAUUGAGAUGAAAUAAGCAGAUGUAUUUCAGGACCAUAUCCUUCUUAGGGAUAGGUGCUAUGUAGAGUAUGGGAAUAUGCACAGAAAUUGCUCUGCUCACCAGGUACCCCUAUUCUCCUCUGGGUCUGGGUUCCCAGAUUAGGGCUGCCAGAUUUUGAAAAGCAAAAAAGAGGACACUAUGACAACUCUCAUUUUAAAUACCCCUACUACAUGUAGAGUGACGCGGGUGGCGCUGUGGGUUAAACCACAGAGCCUAGGACUUGGCGAUCAGAAGGACGGCAGUUCGAAUCCCCACGACGGGGUGAGCUCCCGUUGCUCGGUCCCUGCUCCUGCCAACCUAGCAGUUCAAAAGCACAUCAAAGUGCAAGUAGAUAAAUAGGUACUGCUCCAGCGGGAAGGUAAACGGCGUUUCUGUGCGCUGCUCUGGUUCGCCAGAAGUGGCUUAGUCAUGCUGGCCACAUGACC